CGGCCUGUCACCGCGCCAGAGCGGCAGACACUGACUACACCGGGCCUGUGCGGCUGCUGUCUGCGCGGCAGCGCUGCCGACAGCCGCCGGCCCGCCCUCGGAGGUCUGAGGAGAGAAGGAGAGGGCUAGAGAAAUUUUCCCGCUUCAUGCUUUCAGAAGUAAAGGAUGGGAACACAAGGGCGCAAACCUGUUCUUUGGGGUCUUUUUAUUUGCAGUGAUCUAGAGUGAGGUAGUAGCAACAGCAUUUGUAAGGAAAACAGAAAGUAAAAUAUGACAAUGGAAGAUAUGUUCAGGUUAAUUAAUCAGGCAGUAACCAGUUCCAAGAUCAAUAAUGCAGGCAAGUGAAACGGGACAAUAUAAACUCUCCUGCACCUUAAUACAUGGGAGGAUAGCCGUCCUGGUGAUACAAGAGAAAUCCGUGUUUUCUACUCUGCGUAUUGGUUCAUCUGUGACUAUUGUGGGUUUCAUUAAGCUGUGAACUCGGGAAAGCAAAAACGAAGCAACCAAGGAAAAAACGUAUUUUUAGAGUUAAUGAAAGAGAUAAAAGGAACUAAGCUACUUACAGCUACAUUAAAAAGAAAAUAGCUUCUGAGCAGUAUACAGCAGACUGCUUUUAACUCUGAGAGACAGGGACUGAUUUGGAGAGAGAUCUCAGAACUGGAAGUCAGAAGACCUUUGCUCUUCCAUCUGUCCUGAGAUGAAUCUGCCACAUAUCAUUAGGCAAAGGCUUGACUCCUCUGUAGGGUAACGCAGUUUCCCUGCAUGUCACCUGGAAACAGGAAUGCUCACCUUGGAAAGAUGCUGCAAAGAGUGUAUCACUGUUACUAAUCCAUCUUACAAGAGACGGGAGCCUGUGAUAUCUAGUUGAUUAGUGCUAUUAGGGUGACACAUUAGAUGCAAAGAGCUGCAGAAGAACCUGACACCAGUUAAAACACAGACUGGACAAAAGAGGAAGAGCUCUGAUUAGUGAAAUGAUGGAGAAAACCCUCCCAAACAGACAUGGUUUCUUUGGAUGGGGAAGGAAGUAUCCUUUCGGCUCAGCCCCAGGACUGUGGGCCCUGGGCUUAUCAGCAGCUGGUGGGGUAGAGCUCUGGCUUGCCCCAGUCCAUUUCCUUUUAACAGGAGACCCACAUGCUGAGCUGUUAUGGGCAGACAUUAAUGAGCGAUCCUGGCACCAUCUGUUACGUACCUUUGUUACACAGAAGAUAACCUCACACCAAGUUCCUGUGUCACUUGCUAGCUUUCUUGGCAUGACCAAGAGCUGCGUCAUGCAAUAGUUGUUCGUGAUGAGUUUCUGAUUCUCUUUGGGAAUGCAGCAUUUUCUCAGACUGACAAGGCAAGAUCCUGCCUGCCUUGAAGAACAUACGAAUCCUGUCACUGGGGAGGACCAAUGUCAGCAGAGAGGUCCUUGCUAUCCAGGCUGGACACCUGUCUUUUGGAACAGAUGAGAGCUACAUUCACAGUGGCAGAAUGAAAAUAGAAACACAGUGGUAAGAAAGUGGCCAAUGGAAGUAUUGAGCUGUGGCUCUUGCAUUUUGCCUGGCCCUGGGGACACACACACACACAUGCACACCUCUGCACCAGAAUAAACGUGUGACCCAGGAGAAACCAGAGCGUGGUGCAGCAAGCAGUCCAGCACACUUAGUUUCAGUAGCCUGUAAAGAAAGCUGUAUUCCUCCUUUGAUACUUUCACAAUAUCAAAGCCCAAUUAAAACCCAUUAAAAUGGAUCAAUUUGAAACCCAAUGCCAAUCGUUCCCAAUCACUAACAUUGCUUUGAAGAAAUCCAUUCUCUAUCCUUGAGGGACCUUCACACAGGUGAGCAGAUGUCUAAGGUUGUAGUGACAGACAUUUACCAGUG
This is a long non-coding RNA of Haliaeetus leucocephalus (bald eagle), 1859 nucleotides long. RefSeq lists it as uncharacterized. The record is from RefSeq and is a predicted model, not a curated record. NCBI's taxonomy places the organism in Eukaryota, Metazoa, Chordata, Aves, Accipitriformes, Accipitridae. The transcript has 3 exons.